GAUGAACGCUGGCGGCAGGCUUAACACAUGCAAGUCGAGCGGAGAGAGGUAGCUUGCUACUGAUCUUAGCGGCGGACGGGUGAGUAAUGCUUAGGAAUCUGCCUAUUAGUGGGGGACAACAUUUCGAAAGGAAUGCUAAUACCGCAUACGUCCUACGGGAGAAAGCAGGGGACCUUCGGACCUUGCGCUAAUAGAUGAGCCUAAGUCGGAUUAGCUAGUUGGUGGGGUAAAGGCCUACCAAGGCGACGAUCUGUAGCGGGUCUGAGAGGAUGAUCCGCCACACUGGGACUGAGACACGGCCCAGACUCCUACGGGAGGCAGCAGUGGGGAAUAUUGGACAAUGGGCGGAAGCCUGAUCUAGCCAUGCCGCGUGUGUGAAGAAGGCCUUAUGGUUGUAAAGCACUUUAAGCGAGGAGGAGGCUACUUUAGUUAAUACCUAGAGAUAGUGGACGUUACUCGCAGAAUAAGCACCGGCUAACUCUGUGCCAGCCGCCGCCGUAA
This 501-nucleotide ribosomal RNA is filed under the name uncultured bacterium. RNAcentral describes it as "partial 16S ribosomal RNA". It matches the Rfam family "Bacterial small subunit ribosomal RNA", at positions 28 to 523 of the family's 1533-position model. The record is from RNAcentral.